AUUGAACGCUGGCGGCAGGCCUAACACAUGCAAGUCGAGCGGAUGAAGGGAGCUUGCUCCUGGAUUCAGCGGCGGACGGGUAAGUAAUGCCUAGGAAUCUGCCUGGUAGUGGGGGAUAACGUCCGGAAACGGGCGCUAAUACCGCAUACGUCCUGAGGGAGAAAGUGGGGGAUCUUCGGACCUCACGCUAUCAGAUGAGCCUAGGUCGGAUUAGCUAGUUGGUGGGGUAAAGGCCUACCAAGGCGACGAUCCGUAACUGGUCUGAGAGGAUGAUCAGUCACACUGGAACUGAGACACGGUCCAGACUCCUACGGGAGGCAGCAGUGGGGAAUAUUGGACAAUGGGCGAAAGCCUGGUCCAGCCAUGCCGCGUGUGUGAAGAAGGUCUUCGGAUUGUAAAGCACUUUAAGUUGGGAGGAAGGGCAGUAAGUUAAUACCUUGCUGUUUUGACGUUACCAACAGAAUAAGCACCGGCUAACUUCGUG
This 484-nucleotide ribosomal RNA is filed under the name uncultured bacterium. Its description in RNAcentral is "partial 16S ribosomal RNA". It matches the Rfam family "Bacterial small subunit ribosomal RNA", at positions 30 to 507 of the family's 1533-position model. The record is from RNAcentral.